RNAcentral lists this long non-coding RNA (295 nucleotides) under Arachis ipaensis. RNAcentral's name for it is "long non-coding RNA (AIPA_LNC001717)". Lineage: Eukaryota; Viridiplantae; Streptophyta; Magnoliopsida; Fabales; Fabaceae. The record is from RNAcentral.
AGCAGGACAUGGUUCUCAGAUAACCAGUCCAAUCCCAAGAUAAGAUCAAGACCGAUCAUCGGUAAGCAGAUUAAAUUAUGGAAAAAAUCACGCUGCUUGAACCUAAACGAAACUUUCGGGCAUCCUAGCCUAGUUAUCAUGGCCUCAUGGGUAGCAUUAUACACUUUUAAGUCAUAACCUAAGGUUACGAUCUUCAAUCCUAACUCAUGGGCUUUCUCAAAUGCAAUAAAUGAAUGUGAUGCUCCCGAAUCAAAUAAAGCAUUUAAAGUUUGACCAGCCAUUUCACAGUUACCUC